UACGAAGGGGGCUAGCGUUGCUCGGAUUGACUGGGCGUAAAGGGCGCGUAGGCGGCGGACACAGUCAGACGUGAAAUUCCUGGGCUCAACCUGGGGGCUGCGUUUGAUACAUGUCUGCUUGAGUUCGGAAGAGGGUCGUGGAAUUCCCAGUGUAGAGGUGAAAUUCGUAGAUAUUGGGAAGAACACCGGUGGCGAAGGCGGCGACCUGGUCCGAUACUGACGCUGAGGCGCGAAAGCGUGGGGAGCGAACAGG
This 253-nucleotide ribosomal RNA is filed under the name uncultured bacterium. RNAcentral's name for it is "partial 16S ribosomal RNA". It matches the Rfam family "Bacterial small subunit ribosomal RNA", at positions 524 to 776 of the family's 1533-position model. The record is from RNAcentral.